UACGGGGGGGGCAAGCGUUGUUCGGAAUUACUGGGCGUAAAGGGUUUGUAGGUGGCUUGCUAAGUCAGACGUGAAAUCCCUCGGCUUAACCGGGGAACUGCGUCUGAUACUGGAUGGCUUGAGUUCGGGAGAGGGAUGCGGAAUUCCAGGUGUAGCGGUGAAAUGCGUAGAUAUCUGGAGGAACACCGGUGGCGAAGGCGGCAUCCUGGACCAACACUGACACUGAGGAGCGAAAGCCAGGGGAGCAAACGGG
This 253-nucleotide ribosomal RNA is filed under the name uncultured bacterium. RNAcentral describes it as "partial 16S ribosomal RNA". It matches the Rfam family "Bacterial small subunit ribosomal RNA", at positions 524 to 776 of the family's 1533-position model. The record is from RNAcentral.